Molecule: ribosomal RNA, 500 nt
Filed under: uncultured bacterium
Lineage: Bacteria
Description: partial 16S ribosomal RNA
Rfam family: Bacterial small subunit ribosomal RNA
Source: RNAcentral
AUUGAACGCUGGCGGCAGGCCUAACACAUGCAAGUCGAGCGGAUGACGGGAGCUUGCUCCUUGAUUCAGCGGCGGACGGGUGAGUAAUGCCUAGGAAUCUGCCUGGUAGUGGGGGACAACGUUUCGAAAGGAACGCUAAUACCGCAUACGUCCUACGGGAGAAAGCAGGGGACCUUCGGGCCUUGCGCUAUCAGAUGAGCCUAGGUCGGAUUAGCUAGUUGGUGGGGUAAUGGCUCACCAAGGCGACGAUCCGUAACUGGUCUGAGAGGAUGGUCAGUCACACUGGAACUGGGACACGGUCCAGACUCCUACGGGAGGCAGCAGUGGGGAAUGUUGGACAAUGGGCGAAAGCCUGAUCCAGCCAUGCCGCGUGUGUGAAGAAGGUCUUCGGAUUGUAAAGCACUUUAAGUUGGGAGGAAGGGCAGUAAGUUAAUACCUUGCUGUUUUGACGUUACCGACAGAAUAAGCACCGGCUAACUCUGUGCCAGCCGCCGCGGUAA